CCCCAGCAAGGAGAUCAAGAUUGUCUCUGCGGUCAGACGGAGUAGCAUGAGCAGCUGUGGCAGCAGCGGGUACUUCAGCACCAGUCCGACCCUCGGCAGCAGCCCACCUGUCCUCUGCAACCCAAAAUCUGUACUAAAAAGAACAGUGACUCCUGAGGAACUUUUGAGGCCUGGGGCGCCAUAUGCUCGGAAAACAUUCACUAUUAUAGGUGAUGCUGUUGGGUGGGGAUUUGUGGUGCGAGGGACUAAGCCCUGCCACGUGCAAGCAGUGGAUCCCAGUGGGCCAGCAGCUGCAUCGGGAAU
Protobothrops mucrosquamatus (brown spotted pit viper) is the source of this 303-nucleotide long non-coding RNA. RefSeq lists it as uncharacterized. The record is from RefSeq and is a predicted model, not a curated record. The transcript is spliced from 3 exons. NCBI's taxonomy places the organism in Eukaryota, Metazoa, Chordata, Lepidosauria, Squamata, Viperidae.